This 920-nucleotide long non-coding RNA is filed under the name Homo sapiens (human). RNAcentral describes it as "non-protein coding lnc-CCDC47-2:3". The record is from RNAcentral. Lineage: Eukaryota; Metazoa; Chordata; Mammalia; Primates; Hominidae.
ACUUCCCCUUGCAGAACCCAGCGGGUGCCGCUUCUCCACCCGAGGCUUCCACCUCCAACGAGCCAUGUUCCAGGCUGCAGGAGCCGCCCAGGCCACCCCCUCUCAUGACGCCAAAGGCGGCGGCAGCAGCACGGUGCAGCGCUCCAAGGUAGGGGCCUGGGGCCGGGUGUGCGGGAGGAGGGGUGUGAGGGAGCGGGAUGAGCACUGGGGCAGCACCUGGCUGAGCUUCCCGCACAGUCCUUCAGCCUGCGGGCCCAGGUGAAGGAGACCUGCGCCGCCUGCCAGAAGACCGUGUACCCCAUGGAGCGGCUGGUGGCCGACAAGCUCAUUUUCCACAACUCUUGCUUCUGCUGCAAGCACUGUCACACCAAGCUCAGGUGCGCCCCUGCCCUGCCCGCCCCCGCCUCGCCUGCCAACCCAGCCCCGACCUGACCUGACCUGACGCCGUUGUUUGGCUUCUGCAGCCUGGGCAGCUACGCCGCGCUGCACGGGGAGUUCUACUGCAAACCCCACUUCCAGCAGCUGUUUAAGAGCAAAGGCAACUACGACGAGGGGUUUGGCCGCAAGCAGCACAAGGAGCUCUGGGCCCACAAGGAGGUGGACCCCGGCACCAAGACGGCCUGAGGCCUCUGUAACCUUCCACCCCCUCUGCGGAAGGCCUGGAGCCGGCAGGGGGAAGGUGGGAAGGAGGUCGAGCUGGGCUUGCGUGGGGGCCAGGUGGGAAGGGGAUGAGGCUUGCUCAGGCGUAGGGGACCAGGGCAGGGCUCUGCUCCAGGACUCCUUCCUUCUUCCUUCUCCCGCAGCCGGUGAGGGUUUGGAAACCAGGAUUGGGGUCUGCCCACCACCCUGCUUCCUGCUUCGUUCAGCCUCCCUCCCCACCUCACCCCAGGACCCCCUGGGAGGCCCCCAAGCCCAGCUCC